Molecule: long non-coding RNA, 2848 nt
Organism: Oreochromis niloticus (Nile tilapia)
Lineage: Eukaryota; Metazoa; Chordata; Actinopteri; Cichliformes; Cichlidae
Product: CD226 antigen
Exons: 8
Source: RefSeq, a predicted model, not a curated record
UCUCCUCACAGCCCUGUCCCUUCAUCCGAACUGUUCGCCUCCAAACUCCGUUUACUCCUGAAACUUCCCUCCUCUCUUCUGCUUCUCCCUCUUCCCUUUCCUCCCCCACUAGAAACCGGGGUCCAGUCUCCAUUUCAUCCAUGGAUUUCCUGAGACUCCAUUCCAGCCAGUCACACACCACUAACAACGGUUUUCCUCGUUCAGUUCUGGGGAAAAGCUCAACCCGUCGAUCCAGCUCUCAGCGCACCAACACCAGACCGUUGUCUUUCCCACAGAUCCAAAAAUGUCAGAGAUUCAUGAGUCGUAGGACCGUGAGAGUUGCAGCCAAAAUCAUCACAGCUAAUUCUGGACAGGACGUCACUCUGACAUGUCGAGCUCCAAACAACAACAACAACAUUGUAGAGUGGAGCAGAGCUGACCUGGGAGACAAAUAUGUGCUUGUGUACCGUGAUGGUCACUUACUUACAGAUGACCAGCAUCCAUCUUUUAAGAACCGGGUGGAUCUGCAGGACAGACAGAUGAAGGAUGGAGACGUGUCUUUGAUUCUGAAGGAUGUGACGAUUAAUGACACUGGAACAUACGAGUGUCACAUUGCUCAGCGAAAACCAAACCAAGAGAGACCCAGUUUAGAGUUCAUCAGCAUCAUCCACCUUCAUGUUGCUCCUCCAGGUCAGACGGGAGGACACAAAGAUGGAGACAAAAACAUCACAGCUGAGUCUGGACAGGACGUCACUCUGACAUGUCGAGCUCCAAACAACAACUUCAUAGUUGUAGUUUGGGGCAGAGCUGACCUGGGAGAUAAACAUGUGUUUGUGUACCGGGAUGGUCAAUUUAGUCCAGAUGACCAGCAUCCAUCUUUUAAGAACCGGGUGGAUCUGCAGGACAGACAGAUGAAGGAUGGAGACGUGUCUUUGAUUCUGAAGAAUGUGACGGUUAAUGAUGCUGGAAGAUACGAGUGUCGUGUUGGUAAGAAACAACCAAACCAAACAAAUGUGGAUUUGAAGCUCAUCAACAUCAUCACACUGAAAGUUGAUCCUCCAGGAUCUGUUGGACUGAUCGUCGGUCUGUCAGUUCCUGUUGUGCUUCUUCUUCUUGUUGCUGUUGUUGGUUUCUUGAUCUACAGAAAAAAGAAACUGAAUCCUGCUGAUCCACAUGAAGCAGAGCAUCUUCAGCUUCUUCAGCCUGAAUGUCAGAAAACCAUCACAGCUGAGUCUGGACAGGACGUCACUCUGACAUGUCGAGCUCCAAACAACAACAUCAUAGUUGUAAAGUGGAGCAGAGCUGACCUGGUAGAUGAAUAUGUGCUUUUGUACCAGGAUGAGCAGUUUGAUCCAAAAGGGCAGCAUCCAUCUUUUAAGAACCGGGUGGAUCUGCAGGACAGACAGAUGAAGGAUGGAGACGUGUCUUUGAUUCUGAAGGAUGUGACGAUUAAUGACACUGGAACAUACGAGUGUGGUGUUGUCCAGGGAGUGGGAGGACCUGUGACUCUAAUCAGCAGCAUCAACCUUGUUAUUGUUCCUCCAGGUCAGAACAACAUCACAGUAGUAGUAGUACAUGUCACGAGCUCCAAACAGCUGAGUCAGAGAAAAUGAGCCAACAGCUUCAUCAGCCCGAGUGUUGAUCCAACAUAGACUCCAUGUCAUCCAACAUUUCUCUCAGUCACACUGAGAGACACUCUAACAUUUUCCAACGUCGUCUACGUAACUUCUGCUGAAGGAAGAAUAAAAGAAAUGUAAAUUUUGUAGAUAUUGUAAAGUUUUAUAUUUUUAUGACUUCUUAGAUGUGUUUUGGGGGUUUAUAUGGAUAUUUAGCCUCUAAGAGUCUAAAGUUUCUGUGGAGACCACACAUGUCAAUAUUUGCAUGAACAAAGUCGUGGAUGGUUGCAUACCUCCUGAAUGAUGCACUCAGUGUUUAUUUGUUUGUUCAUUAAUAACACAAAUGUUACAAAUGGUGAUUGUUUUCCUUCAUUCAGGCAUUUUUAACAUUAUUAUUUGUGUUACGUUCUUAGUCUAGGCAUGUAUUGAACACAAGAAAUUGGCCCACUCCCGCACCACCCAAGAAAGAACACAAACAGUGGUAUCUUUUAAAGUGCUAAGCAGCCAUUUAUUUGCUUCAGCAGUGAGCCGUGCCAAAAAUAACAAACAAAACUCCCUAAUGGUCCCUAUUCGUUCCUACACAAAUGAAAAUCAACCAAACGACAGUUCACUUAGGCUGCUGCAGUGACGAAUAUAUAGAAGGUGAACAAAAUACACAAUUGCUACUUUACAAAUCUAUUUACAGCCAUUUACAGAAUUAAGAUACUAACACCAGACACACACACACACACGGUUAUACUUGCAGAUCAAUGGGCAAACACACUCUAUCAAAAAAAAAAAAACGAAUAAAAAGCACAUGCUAUUUGUAGGAUGGUGGAGGGUAGUAGAGAGAGGGGCCAGGUGGCUGUCAUCUGGUAGUUAAAUACUGGAGGUGAUUAGCCAAUUAUCCAAUCCAAGGACAGGAAGAGACUCCACCCAACUACUCAGCAGGCACGCCCAGGUGUCCACCUCCUAAAAGAGAAAGGGGAAAAACCCCACAACCAUCUUAUGGAAGGAGGAGUCACGCAUAAAACAACACACAGACAACAUUGGAUCAUAACAUUUGUGAUUAAAAAUUGUAGCUGCUUGUGUUGUAUGUUUGUCCUUGUAUGUGUGUUUGUGUUUCCUGCUGCUCACACACAGGAUUAGAAAAGCCUGAAAACUCAGAGUUCUCAGAGUCUGUGAGCUCCAAAUGUUUGCAUGUAGGACAGAGAACAAAGGUCAGUGUGUGAGUGUCUCUGUGUUUGAAGUAAUAAACUACUGGAUUAGUCUGA